RNA transcript from Fragaria vesca subsp. vesca, 1299 nucleotides. RefSeq lists it as uncharacterized. The record is from RefSeq and is a predicted model, not a curated record. NCBI's taxonomy places the organism in Eukaryota, Viridiplantae, Streptophyta, Magnoliopsida, Rosales, Rosaceae. The transcript has 4 exons.
GGUCAAGCAGAAGUUGAAUGAUCGUUGGAGGGCAUUCAAGAAGGAACUCAAAAAAGAUUGGUAUACCCCAAAUGUUGGAACACGAGCGAUUCAAAUGCAAAGAUGGGAGAGUAAGCACAAAGCAAUGGGUUGCACUAGUUAACCAUUGCGAAGGUAACAAGCAAAAGAUAUGUUUAAGGCAGUCAUAAUAUUUUGAAAGCGGCGUUCUUUACUGAACAAGCAGAGUCGGGAAAAACGUAGGAUGAUACACACAACUGGCACAACUUCAUUUGCUCAAAUCAGGAAUGCAUAUAAAUAAGUAAAUGGAGGUGUAAGCCCAGAUCGUUGCACAAUGUUUGAGCUUACCCAUGUCAACAACUCUGGAAAACCUCAAGAUCCAAAAUCUAAACAAGCUAUUGCAUCAAUGAAGAGCAAGAUUGAAAAGAUGAAGUCUACCAAGAGGGCAUCUCAACUUCCGGAUGAUCUUGAUAAUUUUGAAAUCAAUGAUGUAUAUGCAACUGUGCUUGGAAAAGAGAAGCGCGGAGCGAUACGAGGAUUUGGCAUUGGAGUUAGACCAGACCAAGUUCCUGGUGUACUUGUGUAGGAAAGAGGUGUUCAUUUAGAGGUACAAGAAAUGAGGGAACAACAUGAAGCUGAGAUUGAAACAAUUCGGAAGGAGAGCCAAGAAAAGGAAGAUAAGCUCAGGGAGGAAAUGAGUAGACAAAAACUUGCUACAAUUGAAAAUUUUAAGGAUAUGGAGGUUGUAAUGAAAAAACAGGGAGCAAUUUUGGCUUUAUUACUUGCUGAAUAUGAUCAGCCAAGUGACUUGCUUGCAACUAUACGAAUGAAGACUGGUUCUCUUCAACCAUUGGUGAGCCAUAUUCAACCUUCAAUGACUUGGAUAAUGUUUACAUAUCUCAAUGUUGUGAAAAGUUGCACCAUCAAGUUGCCACAGAUUGAGGCCCUUCAGACUUCACCUUUUGAUUAGUAUAAGUAAGUGCUUGAGACCUCUGUAUUUUUGUUGUUUUGAACUUAAUCUAUGAUCUCUCUACUAUACUGGUGUAGCUAUCUGAUCAUGAGAUAAGUGCAGAGGCUUUUAGCAUUAGCUUCAAACAUAUUUAGGUUUUGUUGAUAUAUGUGAAGUCUGACUUAGCAUUGUAUAUUGUAGUGUUCAACUACAAUUUGUACUCAAUCACAGUUUUUGUAUAUCAGUUGGCAAUUAUGUUUGGUUUUAUGUAAUACAAAUGUAUAUUGUAAUGUACUGGUCUAAAUACAGAAAAUAAGAUACAACUAAAUACAAAAUCAGUUUGGACUGGUCCC